CGGGGAGUAGCGCAGCCUGGUAGCGCAUCUGCUUUGGGAGCAGAGGGUCGGAGGUUCGAAUCCUCUCUCCCCGA
RNAcentral lists this transfer RNA (74 nucleotides) under Allomeiothermus silvanus DSM 9946. RNAcentral describes it as "Meiothermus silvanus DSM 9946 tRNA". It matches the Rfam family "tRNA". Rfam says of the family: Transfer RNA (tRNA) molecules are approximately 80 nucleotides in length. Lineage: Bacteria; Thermotogati; Deinococcota; Deinococci; Thermales; Thermaceae. RNAcentral also lists the same sequence under 1 other name. The record is from Rfam by way of RNAcentral.